AAUACAAAAGGAAGUUUGGGGUGAGUAGGAGUCUCACCUGGUUCAUAGAGAAGUUGAUGUUACCCGCAUAAACUUGCUACUCAACUAACUACAUCAACUUGCUACUCAACUUGCCCAGCAAUUCUUCCCUCACCCUGCCAGGCUCACCUCACCUUGAAAAGCCUUAACACUGAAGAAGAUAUUUUCCAUCAGUGGAAGAGCUGAAACAUGCUUCUCUCCAGCCUUCUGAAGGUGGUCGUGGCUUCACUGUGUUUAGGAUCCAGUAUUGCCCAGAAAGUAACUCAAGACCAACCACCAAAGUCAGUGCAGGAGAAAGAAACUGUGACCCUGGAUUGCACAUAUGACACUGGUGAUACAACUUAUAGUCUAUUCUGGCACAAGCAACACAGCAGUGGGGUGAUGACCUUCCUCAUUCGCCAGGACUCUUAUAACAAGCCAAAUACCGCAGAAGGUCGCUACUCAUUGAAUUUCCAGAAGGCAAGCAAAUUCAUCACACUUACCAUCUCAGCUUCACAAUUGGAGGACUCUGCAGGGUAUUUCUGUGCACUGAGUGAGCCCACAGUGAGAGGCAUGUAGGAGGGACCUGUACCAAAACCCAGAGUUCUAAU
This is a non-coding RNA of Bubalus bubalis (water buffalo), 608 nucleotides long. Lineage: Eukaryota; Metazoa; Chordata; Mammalia; Artiodactyla; Bovidae. The record is from the annotation of a RefSeq genome assembly.